CGUUGUGCAUGAGUGGGAAGGGACAGAAUCAGGAGGAAGAAGAACUAGGAAAUGGGCUACCACUGGCCCCAAGCCAAAGCAAAGGGCCAAUGACUGAUAAGCUUCAAAUUUAGGUUUUUUGGGGAGGGUGAGUAGUUCAGAGAAUAAGUUUAUCAACCCAAAAUGAAGUCGUAAUUCUCUCGGUAUAAGUAAACUAAGCAUUGGGUUGGACUACAUAUAUACAUUUUUUUUUUUAAUCUAUUGAUUGAGAACAAGCUUUAGAAAUUCAUAAGUGAACUCAUGCUAGUAUAUUAGAGGAAUGAAUGGUUAGCUAAAAAUGUAUAUGGUGUGAAUGAUAAAAUAAAUCUCACCUUGAUGAGAAAAGGGACCUUGUGUGAAUGUAUAAGUAAAUUGGGCUACUGCUCAUGUUGCCAAUUGGUUUUAUGAUUCAACCUCAAUAUUCUUCAUGGUAUCAUAGCAGGCUGUCUGACAGCUAAACGUGCUCCACAUCAUGUCGUUUGUGUUGUCUACGUGUUUAGCUUGAAAAUUCACCACAUAUGAGGGGACGUGUUGAAAAUGAAUCCCAUGUUUAUGGAAGAAAAGACAUUGCCUAGGCUAUAAGUAAGUUGGGCUACUUUCCAUAUUGCCAAUUACUUUUAUGGUGGAACCUUAGUUGUCUUUAUGAUAUGCUUUAGAAAACUAGGGUUUACAAGAAAAUUAUGAUGCAUAUUUUGUUGUGUGCGCAUUGCUAAUGUGUAAACAAAAUUGUUAAAUUUUAGAAAUGAGAGAAAUCAAGUACAAGGUAAGUGGAUUAUUCUGGUAGUUAGAGUAAUAAUCUUCAACUCAUUACGUUUUGUGUUCGAAUCAUUUCAUAUCCCUUUUAAUACAGAUUAGUGUAGAAUAUCAUUUCUAAUAAAAAUAAGUAAAAAAUCGAUUACCAAGCACUUAAAUAUCAAUGUUUCAUAUGGCCGAUGAACCAUAGAAAGUCGAAGUUAAUUUAUAUCACAUUCUAAUACCACUUCUAACUUGACUACUCUUUUGUGCACGAUGACGAGCAACAAACUGGCGAAUAGUACUUCACCCAAUUGUUGUAACCCUACCUAGAGCCCCGCGUCUUUUCUCACCCAAAAAACCCAAAAUCUGAAACCUCCUAGCCGCCACCCCUUGCUCUGGUUUGAGGUCGGCGGCAGCCCCUCCCAUCGUCUUCUAGUCCUCCCUUUUCUUCCCCUUCCAUUUUCACCCUCUGAAUCUUUUCUAUUCACCCACCUUCCCUACGUUUCCUCCCUCAUUUCACUUUAUUUCCAGCUACUCCUCUCCCUCAUUCUCCCACAUCUUUCUCCUUAUCCACCACUUCUCUCCCAUUUUUCCCUUCCCUUUCCCAUUUUCUCUUCCUUUUAUUUUUCAUUCUCUCCCCCUUUUAUUUUCCCUCUUUGCUUGUUGUAUUUCAAUACAAUUUGGUCAAGAUGGUAGCUUGCCUCAUCUCCCUAAUGAUGGUGGCCUGCCCCAUCUCCCCAAUGAUUGCCCCAUCUAUUCUCAGAUAGUGGUGUGUUCCAAUCUCUGAGUGUCAGCCUUUGUGGGCUUAAGAAAAUUUUCAAUUCAAAAACUUGAUUUGCCAUAUUUUGGUUAUCCUUUAAUUUCUCCCCAUUAUGUAAUGGAUUUUCAUUAGCCCCAAAUAAACCUCAAAUCCUUAAUCCAUACUACAUAUCCAACCCUCGAGACUAUCUUUUGCUAUCAAUUUGCCCACUUUCAAUUGAGGAGUACGAUUGUGCUCCUGUGUCCGAUGCCCACCUCAAGAGUGAAUCGUCGCUCAUGCAGGUGAAGGGUAUUUGGGGCUAUUGAAGGUCUUUGUCUGGAAGGAUGGAAGAUCAACAAAUGUUAUUUUGUGGUGCAAAAUUGGUGGUGUGAGUUGUCGGCCAUUUCUGGUUUUCGGGUAGCUGCAGCAGGUCAUCUAGCACUUGGGCUUUUAGGGUUUUCUUUACUAGCCACCUUUAGGUCGAUGACUAAUCUUCUUAUGUUAAAACGCAUUUAUGUUUUUUCAUUUAUGUACUAUUUUGUAAUUGUUGCAAUGAAGAACCAUUACUCCUUCAA
Pyrus x bretschneideri (Chinese white pear) is the source of this 2067-nucleotide long non-coding RNA. RefSeq lists it as uncharacterized. Lineage: Eukaryota; Viridiplantae; Streptophyta; Magnoliopsida; Rosales; Rosaceae. The transcript has 2 exons. The record is from RefSeq and is a predicted model, not a curated record.